RNAcentral lists this ribosomal RNA (620 nucleotides) under uncultured bacterium. Its description in RNAcentral is "bacterial SSU rRNA". It matches the Rfam family "Bacterial small subunit ribosomal RNA", at positions 66 to 661 of the family's 1533-position model. The record is from RNAcentral.
GCUGAUUUCAGGGUAGCAAUAUUCUGGAGUCGGAGUGGCGCAAGGGUGCGUAACACGUGGGUAAUUUGCCGUGAAGCCCGGAAUAACUCGCUGAAAGGCGAGCUAAUACCGGAUGUGACUUCUGGAGGGCAUCCUCUGGAAUUCAAAGCUGGGGACCGCAAGGCCUGGCACUUCAUGAUAAGCCCGCGGCCUAUCAGCUAGUUGGUGAGGUAACGGCUCACCAAGGCUAAGACGGGUAGCUGGUCUGAGAGGACGACCAGCCUCACUGGAACUGAGACACGGUCCAGACACCUACGGGUGGCAGCAGUCGAGAAUUUUUCUCAAUGGGCGAAAGCCUGAAGGAGCGACGCCGCGUGGGGGAUGAAUGGCUUCGGCCCGUAAACCCCUGUCAUUUGCGAUCAAGCCCCGUCAUUUAAAAGAUGACGGGCUGAUAGUAGCGAAAGAGGAAGGGACGGCUAACUCUGUGCCAGCAGCCGCGGUAAUACAGAGGUCCCAAGCGUUGUUCGGAUUCACUGGGCGUAAAGGGUGCGUAGGCGGCCGGGUAAGUCUGCUGUGAAAUCCCGCAGCUCAACUGCGGAACUGCAUUGGAUACUAUCCGGCUAGAGGAAUGGAGGGGGAGA